Molecule: long non-coding RNA, 311 nt
Filed under: Cicer arietinum (chickpea)
Lineage: Eukaryota; Viridiplantae; Streptophyta; Magnoliopsida; Fabales; Fabaceae
Description: long non-coding RNA (CARI_LNC001063)
Source: RNAcentral
CAUAGGUAAUCAUGUCUGUCAUGUAACGGCGUGUCAUUUCACGAGAGACGAUGGAUUCUUUGAUGGGUUGGAAUUUGAAGGAUUGAAGAUCGUAAGGAGGUGUGUUGAGGGACAUGGAGACUGAAGAAUAGUUAUGGGAGGUGGAUUUGAUUAAGUGGGAGGUGCGGGUAGCAAUUGAUCUUCCAUUGAAGAAUGAGGAUUUAGGAGUUGAAGAGAGAGAAGUGGUGAUAGAUGAGGUGGCCAUUGUGGCUGCGAGAAAGAAGAGUAUUUUAGGAAUAGAAAGGUAAUUGAUAUUUGUGAGAGAAGAGUAG